GUGAAUCAUCGAAUCUUUGAACGCAAAUUGCACUCUCUGGUAUUCCGGAAAGUAUGCCUGUUUGAGGGUCAGUUAAAUUAAAAUCGGGGUUGUUGCUACCCGUAGUGGUGUGUGAUGCAGCGGUAGUGAGUCGUUCUUUAGCUUUGGUUUAAGUGACUUAAAAUUAUGUUUGAUUUUUGAACGUAUUUAAAUUAUUACUUACGUUCGUAAUAGCAUAUAUUAGGUGCGGUCAUUCAUAUGAUUUCGCUA
RNAcentral lists this unclassified non-coding RNA (249 nucleotides) under Glomus sp. RNAcentral's name for it is "partial contains 5.8S ribosomal RNA and internal transcribed spacer 2". The stretch from base 1 to 71 matches the Rfam family "5.8S ribosomal RNA", at positions 84 to 154 of the family's 154-position model. Lineage: Eukaryota; Fungi; Glomeromycota; Glomeromycetes; Glomerales; Glomeraceae. The record is from RNAcentral.